AUGGCCCUGUGUCAGGACGAGCAGCACAGGCGCCGCAAACCCAGCCUCUUCCAAGAGACAGAAAUGGCAGAGAAGCCUCUCGCCCCCGUGACGAGCCCAGGCCUCAAAGCGCUUCCCGGUGGGUUCCCGAGCGGGACGCAACCGUCAGACGGCGCUGAGCGGAGCAGCCCGGCUCCACGCGCGCUGCAGGGCCCUGCACCGCCUGGUCCUUGCUGCCCCCGCCACCAGCCCUGCGCUCAACUGCAGCCGGAGAACCCCAGGGUGCAGACUCACCACUGCGGCUCUUGCCUCUGCACAAGAAAAAGAGGAAAACAGUUGUUUUUAAAGCCUGAUCAAUAUUUACAAACAGCGGGCAAAAUGAGUCAUAAAGGAGGAGUGUUAACAAUUCCCGGGGCUAAUGGAGAGGCCGAACAGCUCCUCCCCAGAGAGCUGCACUGGCCGGUGCGAGGGUCAUUAACGGCACCGUCCAGUCCCGGUGUUUUCCUGGGCUCACUUGGACGAACGGCAGGAGCUGGAGUGUUGCCAGCCGCUGGAUGGGAAGCGAUCCCCGACCGCUCACUCCAUGCCGAUCCCCAACCGCUCACACCGUGCCAAUCCCUGACCGCUCACACUGUGCUGAUCCCCAACUGCUUGAGCCAUGCCGAUCCCCAACUGCUCAUGCUGUGUUUCACGCACAGCACGGAGGCACUAAGCACUUGUGCAAGCAGAGCUGCAUCGUGGCGGCAAGGUGGGACGCCAGCGGGCUCCGCAGUCCUGCAGGCUACAGCCACGAGGAGCUCCCUGGCUGUGCUGAGGCCAGGCUCCCUGCGGCAUAGCCAGGCUGGCCGCGAUGUAGCCGGGCUGGCUGCUGCAUGGCUGGGCACCCUGCAUCAUGGCCAGGCUCCCUGCAUUACAGCCAGGCUCCCUGCAUCAUGGCCGGGCUCUCUGCAUUGCAGCCAAGCUGGCUGCAUCGUGGCUGGGCUCCCCGCAUUGCAGCCAAGCUGGCUGCUUCACGGCCAGGCUCCCUGCAUCGUGGCCGGGCUCCCUGCAUCGUGGCCAGGCUCCCUGCAUCGCGGCCAGGCUCCCUGCAUCGCGGCCGAGCUGGCUGCCACAUGGCCAGGCUCCCUGCAUUGUGGCUGGGCUCCCUGCAAUGCAGCCGGAUAG
RNAcentral lists this long non-coding RNA (1143 nucleotides) under Apteryx haastii (Great spotted kiwi). RNAcentral's name for it is "lncRNA (ENSAHAG00000012207.1)". Lineage: Eukaryota; Metazoa; Chordata; Aves; Apterygiformes; Apterygidae. The record is from RNAcentral.